UAAAUAAGUAAAUGUGGGAAUUGUGGUUUGGAAUGGAAAUAAAGAUGAGGUUUGGAAUAUAUGAAGUAGAAGAUAAGGAAUAUGGGGUUUUGGGGUUUGGGGUUUCGGAUUUUAGGGAUUUAAACGUACUACUCGUUAAUUCCUCGUAAGUUGACGUCGAAUGUACGACGUAAUCCUCGUUUAUUCCACGUAGGACAUAAUCGUCAUAAAGGACUCGUUAGGUAACGUGGAAAUUAAGACGAAAUUAAAAAAAAAAAUAAAGAAAGCGAAACCCGUUAAUUCCACGUAGGACGGAAUCGUCGUAAAGACCUCGUAAGGUAAAUAUACGUAAAUACCCCGUAAAGUAAAUGACGAAGGAGGCACUCUUUAAUUCCACGCAGGAUGAAUUCGUCGUAAACACCUCGUAACAAAAAUCGUCGUAAAAACCUCGUAGACUAAAAACUAGAAAAAAAGGAAAGGAAGAGAGAUACCAGAUUUACAUGUGGCAAGACUUCCAGCAAUUAUAAUACUUAAGUCUCGCCCACAUAAAUUCUAAUAUCUUCUUCUCUUUAUUUUUUUCCAAAUAUUUCUAAUUUGAUGAAAAGCGGGACUUGCUACUUCCUCAUAGUAUAAAAACUAGUAAAAAAAGAAAAAAAGAAAGAUUCUGGAAUUAUAUGUGGCGAGACUUACGUCUCGUCCACAUAAGUUCCAAAAUCUUCUUCUCUUUUUUUUUUCAAAUAUUUCUAAUUUGAAAAGCAUUUUGGUGAGGUGUGUGAUUUGAGAUAGGGUGUGUUUUGUGAGUUUGUGUGUGGUUUGAAAAGGAAAGUUGUGGGUAUUUAUAGAAAAUAUAAGCUCGCUAAUUCCUCGUAACAAGUUAACUCGUUAAUUCCACGUAAUGUAACUCGUCGUAAAAACGUCGUUAACGAAAACGCGGGCCUUUGUAAUUCGUCGCUAUUUCCUCGUAAAUGAAAACGCGGGCCUCUGUAAUUUCUCGUAACUUUACGAGGAAAUGACGAGGAUAAGUAAUCUUAUAUAUAUCCCCGAGCGAGCUCGCUCUUUCUUUCCUCUCCACUUCCUCCCCACUUCCUCCCUUUUUCGUAGCAAUGGUUCGAAAAGGUAGACUUACUGCCCAUUACAGAGAGAUGUUCGGUGAGCCGGAUAGUCGUUUAGACCCGUCGUCUUCUUCAGCUCCCGGUUCUUCGGGUCAGGAGACUGUCCCCGAGUCUUUGGAUCUCCUUCUUCUAGUGCACCAUCGGUUCCUCAUGUGCCUCCCCCGAUGGCUCCUCCUCCUGUGCCUCCUCUGAUGGCACCUCCGAUGCCCGCCGAGAUUCAUCCCGAUUUGAUGGUGCCUCCGAGUGCUCCUUACUCGCAGUACACCGUAGAGGACAUUCUCCGUCUGCCAGGCAGAGAAAGUUUACCAGUCAUCGACCCCGACCGACCGGACAGAACUUUGUGGUAUGUUUCAUUAUUUUUUUAUUCUUUUUAAAUUCUUUUAUAACUUUAAAAAAUAAUUUAUAUUUUAAAUUUUUAUUUUCCAGGUUUGGGAUUGACGGAUGUCAUGCAUCGGACGUAAACGACACAAUAAAAUGUUACUUCUCCAUGGCACAUCCGAACUGGAAAAAGACGGCACACUACGUCAGAAAGACGUGGUUUAAAAUUUACGCUGUAAGUUUCUAUUAAUUAAUUAUCUAUCUUUAAAUUUUUUCAUUAUUUAUAUAUAUAUUUUUUUCU
Long non-coding RNA from Brassica rapa (field mustard), 1710 nucleotides. RefSeq lists it as uncharacterized. The record is from RefSeq and is a predicted model, not a curated record. NCBI's taxonomy places the organism in Eukaryota, Viridiplantae, Streptophyta, Magnoliopsida, Brassicales, Brassicaceae.